GAGUAAACCUUUUGUGUCGUGCGCGUGCUUUCUCAACCAUAAAAUCAACCUCGCCUUCGAUGCUGGCGAAUAUCCGUUUAAAACUCGGCGACCUAUUCAAUGACGAUGCACGUAGGAUACAUUCCUUGAAAAGAGCUUACAAAGCAAUGGCGUAUUUAUGAGGCAACACAGGUUGAAUUUAUUACCGUACAGAGAGAGUGUUCAACUGGACAACGUUAGAAAUAUUUCCGUUGUUUCUUGUUUUAUAAUAAGAAAUCUUUAGUAGAUGUUACUUAUAUUAAUUAAUCAAGUGCCAAUUAAAAAGAAUUGAAAAUUUAUUUCACAAUUACAGCGAUAUAUUAAUAAAAAACAUUUAUUUAAAAUAUGAUUUUUAUCUGGUGGCAGAUGAAACGGCAUAUGUGAAGCUCUUUUCGAUAAGGUAUUAACGGUUCGUAGAUGCAAUUAACCACUGAUUUUUCCACAACGAACUAAAAUUAGAAAUUCAAAUUGAUCUUUUUUCUUCUUGCUGCCAACCGAGCUGCUGCAACUAUAUUACAAUCAAGCCAGGUAGAAUUACUGGUCAAUUUUCUCCGGAAUGGAAUGAUUUCGCAAUCGUUGCGGAAGGUGAUGGCAGUCUAGGGUCGACGACCACGAUAUUCAUGUGAGACGAUCGUUAGACGUUGCAUAGGAGCAUUUGUGUCGAAAAAUGAAUCAAAUUUAUCAUAUAAUUGAAAUAAAUUAACUCUAGAUUAAUCUUUCUAUGUUCAAUAUUGUGAAUAUAGACUAUGAUACUUUAUUCUAUGUUACAUCUUCUUUAUGAAGACAUAAAGAUAUAUUUUUAUCAUUAUAUGAUAAUGAAUGAAAAAGAAUUUUUGGAAAUUAUUUAGAAAGAGAAAUCCAAUAUUGAUUUUAAAAAUAUAUUGCAAAGA
RNAcentral lists this long non-coding RNA (908 nucleotides) under Apis mellifera (honey bee). RNAcentral describes it as "uncharacterized LOC102653792, transcript variant X2". Lineage: Eukaryota; Metazoa; Arthropoda; Insecta; Hymenoptera; Apidae. The record is from RNAcentral.